GAUGAACGCUAGCGGCAGGCCUAACACAUGCAAGUCGAGGGGCAGCACAUAAAGUGGUUUACUACUUUUGGUGGCGACCGGCGGACGGGUGCGUAACGCGUAUGCAACCUGCCUCCAACAGGGGGAUAACGGAGAGAACUUUCCACUAAUACCCCAUAAUAUCAGAAUCGGCAUCGGUUUUGGUUGAAAACUCCGGUGGUUGGAGAUGGGCAUGCGUUGUAUUAGAUAGUUGGUGAGGUAACGGCUCACAAAGUCAACGAUACAUAGGGGGACUGAGAGGUUAGCCCCCCACACUGGUACUGAGACACGGACCAGACUCCUACGGGAGGCAGCAGUGAGGAAUAAUGGUCAAUGGGGGCAACCCUGAACCAGCCAUGCCGCGUGCAGGAAGACGGCUCUAUGAGUUGUAAACUGCUUUUACAAGGGGAUAAAUCGGUGUACGUGUACACCGUUGAAGGUACCUUGGGAAUAAGGAUCGGCUAACUCCGUGCCAGCAGCCGCCGUAA
This 506-nucleotide ribosomal RNA is filed under the name uncultured bacterium. RNAcentral's name for it is "partial 16S ribosomal RNA". It matches the Rfam family "Bacterial small subunit ribosomal RNA", at positions 28 to 523 of the family's 1533-position model. The record is from RNAcentral.